CUAGAAACGUAGAUGGGGAGCAGUAAGUGGUGUAACCCUACAGAGAGCCGCUGGUAGGUGUAAGGCGGUGGGUAAAAUUACUGAACUCGCCCCGGAGUUGUUUGAGGGAAAUAAAGUACCUUAAACCGGGUUUGCCCGAUACAGCUCACAAGAGGGUAAGAGAUUGCUUACCAAUCAGGGUGGUACCGCGGGAAAACCUCUCGUCCCUUUU
RNAcentral lists this non-coding RNA (211 nucleotides) under Desulforamulus reducens. RNAcentral describes it as "Desulfotomaculum reducens T-box sequence". It matches the Rfam family "T-box leader". Rfam says of the family: Uncharged tRNA acts as the effector for transcription antitermination of genes in the T-box leader family. Lineage: Bacteria; Bacillati; Bacillota; Clostridia; Eubacteriales; Peptococcaceae. The record is from RNAcentral.